UUUCUUACCUGGCAGGGGAGAUACCGUGAUCAAGAAGGCGGUUCACCCAGGGCAAGGCUCAGCCAUUACACUUUGGCUGUGCUGACCCCGGCAAAUUCCCCAAAUGUGGGAAUCUCGACCGCAUAAUUUCUGGUAGUGGGGGACUGCGUUCGCACUCUCCCCUG
Molecule: small nuclear RNA, 164 nt
Gene: U1
Rfam family: U1 spliceosomal RNA
About the family: U1 is a small nuclear RNA (snRNA) component of the spliceosome (involved in pre-mRNA splicing). Its 5' end forms complementary base pairs with the 5' splice junction, thus defining the 5' donor site of an intron.
Source: Ensembl